UGCAUUGUCUGAUGCAGAAAUCACUGCAAAGAUCCUUGCUGGUCUCGACCUAGAAUACAACCGUGUCUUUUCAGCGCUUGCGGCUCGGGUUGAACCGGUGUCUGUUCAGGAAUUGUAUAGCCAACUUCUAAUCUUCGAAG
Molecule: non-coding RNA, 140 nt
Organism: Hordeum vulgare subsp. vulgare (domesticated barley)
Lineage: Eukaryota; Viridiplantae; Streptophyta; Magnoliopsida; Poales; Poaceae
Source: Rfam